This is a long non-coding RNA of Mesocricetus auratus (golden hamster), 1834 nucleotides long. RefSeq lists it as uncharacterized. The record is from RefSeq and is a predicted model, not a curated record. Lineage: Eukaryota; Metazoa; Chordata; Mammalia; Rodentia; Cricetidae. The transcript is spliced from 2 exons.
CCUAUGAGGGAGGGAGGGAGGGUUGAACAAAGAACUGCCAGGUAUCCUUCCUGCCACGGUGCUGGGCUCCACUUCCUGACAUUUCUGUUCAAAGAAGUCUAUCAAGCUUCUGUCCUCUCCUGGGUGGCUGCCACUAACAACACACAAAUGAUUCUCUUUACUGCUAUGGCUACGGCCAAGGUGGUGCUGACUUCAGUGCGCCCACUUGUGAUCAUACUGCAGUAGAGCAGCCUGGAGACUGCAAGGAUCUGUUUGGGUUUUCCGCUGUUUAUAAGACAGGGACACAGACGGGGCAGUUCUCAGGAGAAGAGACAAGAAAAGGCUCCGCUGAUCGCCCGCCUUCUGGAACACUAGAAUCACCCAUCCACACGCCCAGGGGUCCCAGGCCUGGCACGCUGAACUCAGCCAGCACGCCGGGCCAAAGUUCAAGUGCUUGAUAUGUGCCUCUGCCACCCCGGAUGGCUGCGGCCGCCCUCCCAGUUCCAUGUCUGGGCAGAGGCAGGCACAGAGCACAGCGAAUGGCUCAGAACCCAGCCAGCUGUGACCUGUGUACUGAAAGGGGUGAAGUGCCUGGGGCAAGACAGGUGGCAGGCAGACCUUAAGUAGGUUACAUACCUGGCCCCUACCCUGACUGGUCAGCUCCAGCGUAAAUUCCUUUCACUGGCCCUUGGAGGGGUUGGGAGCACCAAGGAGCUCAGGUCUGAGAGGACUGCCAGGUAGGAGAGCAGGCAGGGUGAUGGCUGUUGGGGCGGGCUAGUCACACACCUCAGGGACAUGGAUCCUUGGAACGGAGAUGGGCGGUCAUGGCGUGGUAAUUAAAUGUCAGGUUAGGCUACAGAUCUCGUCCCUUAGCAAUUCCGGUCGUGCCCAUAACUACCAGCAUGAUGAGGCCUCUCCCACAAAUCCCUUUUCCUACCAGACAGCUGUUCUUGGUGCCCACAGCUGCCUAAAACCAGAAUCCACCUCCCUUCAACCCAGGAGCUCCACAACCCCACAAGGUUUCACUAUGUAGUUUAGUCUAGCUUUGAACUCACUACUGUAGCUUAGGGUAUGACUUCCCCGUUGUAGCUUAGGCUGGCCUCCGACUCACUAUGUAGCCUAGGCUGGUUUGGAACUCUGAUCUUCCAGCUUCCACUUUCUGGUUGCUAGGAUUAAGAGCAUGUACCACCCCCAGCCUUCAGCCCCUACUCUUUUGUCUCUUAGAAAGGUCUUAGCCUCUCCCUGUUGCAGGCGGACCUUCCUGCCUGUAACCUUGACCUUCUCCAAGAUUUCUCCCUGCGAAACCUCCAGGCUGGGUUUAGUGUGCUCACUCCCUCUCUCCCCUUUUGCCCUCUGGUUCCUCCUUUUGUUUUCUCUAGUUGAGACAGUGUCUUGGGAAGCUCAAACUUCCUUUGUAGGGAAGGCAGGCUUUUAUCCUUGCAUCUACUUCCUCAAUUCCAGAAUAGGACACCCAGCUAAAGUCUCUAGUUUUUGUUUGUUAUUUGAGACAAGGUCUCACUGUGUAGCCCUGGCUGUCCUGGAACUAGGGGUGUACGCAUGCUAGCCUCAAGCCUGCUUCUGCCUCCUGGGUGCUGGUAUGACAGGUUUGUGCCAGCACACCUGGAUUCAUAGUCACUAAUUUUAAAAGUCUUCUAAAUGUGUUACUUUUUUUGAUUAUGCCACUAUUCCAGUAAUCAAGACACACUUUCUUCCUUUUUUUUUUUUUUAAGAGUUUUUUGAGACAGGGUUUCUCUGUGUAGCUCUGGCAGUCUUGGAAAUUCACUCUGUAACCCACACUCACAAGAUCUGCCUGUCUCAACCUCUCAAGUGCUGGGAUUAAAGGUGUGCACCACUA